This 722-nucleotide ribosomal RNA is filed under the name Sandona afra. RNAcentral's name for it is "eukaryotic LSU rRNA". The stretch from base 384 to 722 matches the Rfam family "Eukaryotic large subunit ribosomal RNA", at positions 1 to 334 of the family's 3401-position model. Lineage: Eukaryota; Cercozoa; Glissomonadida; Sandonidae. The record is from RNAcentral.
CAAUCUUUGAACGCAAAUUGCGCUCUUGGGUAGCCCUAGGAGCANGCCUCUCUCAGUAUCGGUUCAACCUCUCUCAGCAGCGUGGGCAUUCACCCGCUCACGCGUUGGCUGGAACAUGAGAGUCUUCGCCGCUUGUGCGGCAGUCUCUUGAAAUGCAUGGAGUGAUGCGCGAGUCCCCCUGUCCGUUCAAGCCUCGUUUGCUUGAUCUAGUGGAUGGCGACUGUCGCGCUCGAGUGACGUGAAUACUGACCGCUUGGUCUCCUUUUUUACGUGUGUCUCGAGCCGAUGCCUCAAAGUCGCCGCCUGCGAACGCGGGGGGUCAAGCCUCAUGUGCCGUGGCGUCAGGCCACAAGCGGCACUCGUUUCGACGCGUGUCUGAAAUUUGAUCUGAGAUGAAGCGAGACAACCCCCUGAAUUUAAGCAUAUUAAUAAGGGGAGGAAAAGAAACUAACAAGGAUUCCCCCAGUAACGGCGAGUGAAGCGGGAAGAGCUCAAUUUGAAAAUCGAUUUCCUAAGCGGGACAUCGAGUUGUAGCCUAGAGACGUACUAUCAGCUGAAACCUGGGUAUAAGUUCUUUGGAAUGAGACACUAGAAAGGGUGAGAGUCCCGUAUAGGAUCCAAAGCUUUCAGCGUACGAUGUAUGUUCCUCGAGUCGAGUUGUUUGGGAUUGCAGCUCUAAAUGGGUGGUAAGUUUCAUCUAAAGCUAAAUAAUGGCGAGAGAC